AUCUUUUUAGUAUAGAAAGUAUAUUUGACUUCCAAUCAAAAGGCCCAUUUUAUGGAAAAGAUA
RNAcentral lists this transfer RNA (63 nucleotides) under Daphnia galeata. RNAcentral's name for it is "tRNA-Gly". Lineage: Eukaryota; Metazoa; Arthropoda; Branchiopoda; Diplostraca; Daphniidae. The record is from RNAcentral.